CGAGGCAUGUUAUGCAACCUACAUCCUUCUCUGAAUUUCCUCAGUGCUGCCCCCGCCCUGGGACUCAGGAAGAAGGAAGGGAUUUUGUGGGUUUUGACUCCUCUGGGCCUCAGUCUUCCCAUCUGUCUAGUGGGGAGAGAAGCUUCGCACUUCCCCCUGCCGGGAGCACGCACAGCACGUGUGAACAUCAGGUCCCACGAGAACGGAUUCCGGGCCAACAUCCCCUCUUUGGAGAGCCUCGCUGACUCCCCGUGGACGGAAAUGCUCUGGGCUCCCCCAGGACCGCUGAGGCGCCGCUGUCCGUGCCUCUCAAGGGGGCUGUGUUUAUGGGGUUCCACCCUCCCCGAGCGGGAGAAGUGUCUCUCGUGGGUCUCGCUAGCAGCAUGCGGUGUGGGGCCUGGCCCUGAGCAGAUGCUUGGAGAUGGGAGAGUCUGGGGCAAGAGAGCCCCUUGAGGAAGCAGUGACAGUCCCUGUGCUCAGAGCAUCUGCGUUAAUGUGCUCCCCAGCCACAGCCCCCAUCCCUGUCUUUCCAGGAGCAUUUCUGUGAUUUCUCUCUUCUCCCCUUGCUCUCUGGAAGAGGCUGUAUACUUGUUAGCUGAGAUUCAAACGCCUGACUUUUGUUUAAGCUGUAUCCCUUCCCAAGGCUUUCAGUGUGACCACGUGGAGCCUCAGGCUGGUGCGGACCUGUGCGUGGAGAGGUGGGGAGGGCCUCGCCUGUCUUCUGCCAGAUCCAGGCCCCAGACUUCUGGGAUCCACGUGCUGCAGGCCAGCUAGUGUCGGGAAGAGGCAGGCUGGGGGCAGCCAGGGAGAAAAGGACUGUGUGUAGGAGAUGGAGAGCUGUCCCCAAGUGGCAGGGGCAGUGAAGGGGCC
RNAcentral lists this long non-coding RNA (870 nucleotides) under Mustela putorius furo (domestic ferret). RNAcentral's name for it is "lncRNA (ENSMPUG00000025963.1)". Lineage: Eukaryota; Metazoa; Chordata; Mammalia; Carnivora; Mustelidae. The record is from RNAcentral.